AGGCCGACAGGCGUAGUCGAUGGGUAACCAGUUGAUAUUCUGGUACCGGCUUGUCACCGUCCGUGUCGAGGUGUGUGAUGCUAAGCAUGUGAGCUUGUCUUGGGAGUGUUUUUGAUGCUUCUGGGGUGGGUGAGUGUGUGAACCGAUCAUGUAGUAGGCAAGCUGCGGAGGGACGCAGUGAGGUAGCUCAUCCCCGGUGAUGGUUGUCCGGGGCUAAGUGUGUGGACUGUCUGGUAGGUAAAUCCGCUGGGCGUGAAGGUUGAGGCAUGAUGGGGA
Molecule: ribosomal RNA, 276 nt
Filed under: Leptocylindrus danicus
Lineage: Eukaryota; Bacillariophyta; Leptocylindrophyceae; Leptocylindrales; Leptocylindraceae
Description: partial Bacterial large subunit ribosomal RNA
Source: RNAcentral